CUAGUUCGUAGUUCGGAGCUAAGAUAAGUUAUAAUUAUUUAGUAAUUAGUAUAAAAGAAAAGGGCGUUAAUUGCACUUAGUUGCGAUGUAAUAUAGUAGAAUGUGAAGCAGAGAUAAAGAGAUGUCCAACUCACUGGAAGUGAGAGAGCAAUUGCUAAACGUCAAAACCUUCUGAACUUUGACAGCUAAUCGAGUUCAGGAGGUUUUGACGUUUAGCAAUUGGAAAAGUGGGACGGCCAGAUUAAAAUCCCGCCAAAUUAUUAUUCGAAUGGAGACAUUUUUCAUUUUUUUUGUCUCCAUUUGUAGCGGCCAUUAGUUCGAAGAAUAGCGAAAGCGAAACAGCACAUAGAUUGAAAAAUACAAAAUGCCGAAAACAACCAGCAGUUGGAGGAAAUGUAUUAUUGGCUGCAAUGAGGGAGGAAGAACAUUCAGUUUUCCAAACAGUGGAACGGAUCUCGAACGCGAUGAGGCUCAUUUCUGGUUGAAUGGCUACGUAAAUAAGCAAAAUUGCCGCAUUUGGGGUGAAGAGCAACCAGAAGCCGUUCAAGAACUGCCCAUGCAUCCCGAAAAAUGCACUGUUUGGUGUGGUUUGUACGCUGGUGGAAUCAUUGGACCGUAUUUUUUCAAAGAUGCUGUUGGACGCAACGUUACGGUGAAUGGCGAUCGCUAUCGUUCGAUGCUAACAAACUUUUUGUUGCCAAAAAUGGAAGAACUGAACUUGGUUGACAUGUGGUUUCAACAAGAUGGCGCUACAUGCCACACAGCUCGCGAUUCUAUGGCCAUUUUGAGGGAAAACUUCGGACAACAAUUCAUCUCAAGAAAUGGACCCGUAAGUUGGCCACCAAGAUCAUGCGAUUUAACGCCUUUAGACUAUUUUUUGUGGGGCUACGUCAAGUCUAAAGUCUACAGAAAUAAGCCAGCAACUAUUCCAGCUUUGGAAGACAACAUUUCCGAAGAAAUUCGGGCUAUUCCGGCCGAAAUGCUCGAAAAAGUUGCCCAAAAUUGGACUUUCCGAAUGGACCACCUAAGACGCAGCCGCGGUCAACAUUUAAAUGAAAUUAUCUUCAAAAAGUAAAUGUCAUGAACCAAUCUAACGUUUCAAAUAAAGAACCGAUGAGAUUUUGCAAAUUUUAUGCGUUUUUUUUUUAAAAAAGUUAUCAA
This is a long non-coding RNA of Bactrocera dorsalis (oriental fruit fly), 1161 nucleotides long. RefSeq lists it as uncharacterized. The transcript has 3 exons. The record is from RefSeq and is a predicted model, not a curated record. Lineage: Eukaryota; Metazoa; Arthropoda; Insecta; Diptera; Tephritidae.